RNAcentral lists this ribosomal RNA (497 nucleotides) under uncultured bacterium. RNAcentral's name for it is "partial 16S ribosomal RNA". It matches the Rfam family "Bacterial small subunit ribosomal RNA", at positions 28 to 507 of the family's 1533-position model. The record is from RNAcentral.
GAUGAACGCUGGCGGCGUGCCUAAUACAUGCAAGUCGAGCGAACAGAUGAGGAGCUUGCUCCUCUGACGUUAGCGGCGGACGGGUGAGUAACACGUGGAUAACCUACCUAUAAGAGUGGGAUAACUUCGGGAAACCGGAGCUAAUACCGGAUAAUAUAUUGAACCGCAUGGUUCAAUAGUGAAAGACGGUUUUGCUGUCACUUAUAGAUGGAUCCGCGCCGCUUUAGCUAGUUGGUAAGGUAACGGCUUACCAAGGCAAGGAUGCGUAGCCGACCUGUGAGGGGCUUCGGCCACUCUGGAACUUGAUCAGGUGCCUGAUUCCUACGGGAGGGCGCAGAAGGCUACCUCCGGCAAUGGGCGGGAGCCUGACGGUGCACCGCCGCGUGCGUUACCAGGGCCUUCGGCUCGUGAGCCUCUGUUUUCAGGUGAGACCAAAUGUGGAAGGAACUAUGCCCGUCUUGACGGUACCUAAUCAGAAAGCAACGGCUAACUACGUG